RNAcentral lists this ribosomal RNA (253 nucleotides) under uncultured bacterium. RNAcentral describes it as "partial 16S ribosomal RNA". It matches the Rfam family "Bacterial small subunit ribosomal RNA", at positions 524 to 776 of the family's 1533-position model. The record is from RNAcentral.
UAUGUAGGCAGCAAGCGUUGUUCGGAGUUACGGGGCGUAAAGAGUAUGUAGGCGGUUGCGUAAGUUCGGUGUGAAAUCUCCCGGCUUAACUGGGAGGGUGCGCCGAAAACUGCGUGGCUAGAGUGCGGGAGAGGAGAGCGGAAUUCCUGGUGUAGCGGUGAAAUGCGUAGAUAUCAGGAGGAACACCGGCGGUGUAGACGGCUCUCUGGACCGUUACUGACGCUGAGAUACGAAAGCGUGGGUAGCAAACAGG